UGUAGCUGGCCUUUACGAGGUAUGUGCACGCCUGGGUCAUCCACUCUCAACCUUUGUGCAAUUUAUGUAAGAAACGGUGUAAGCCAGCUAUUUAAUAGUUGGUAAUAAGCCUUUCUUAUGUUUACUACAAACGCUUCAGUUAUAGAAUGUUUACUGUGUAUAACACAAUUAUAUACAACUUUCAGCAACGGAUCUCUUGGCUCUCGCAUCGAUGAAGAACGCAGCGAAAUGCGAUAAGUAAUGUGAAUUGCAGAAUUCAGUGAAUCAUCGAAUCUUUGAACGCACCUUGCACUCCUUGGUAUUCCGAGGAGUAUGCCUGUUUGAGUCUCAUGGAAUUCUCAACCCCUAAAUUUUGUAAUGAAGUUUAGUGGGCUUGGACUUGGAGGGUUGUGUCGGCUUCUAGUCGACUCCUCUGAAAUGUAUUAGCGUGAAUCUUACGGAUCGCCUUCAGUGUGAUAAUUAUCUGCGCUGUGGUGUUGAAGUAUUUAUUAGUUCAUGCUUAUAAUCGUCUCUUACCGAGACAAUUUAUGACAAUCUGAGCUCAAAUCAGGUAGGACUACCCGCUGAACUUAAGCAUAUCAAUAA
This 585-nucleotide ribosomal RNA is filed under the name Irpex laceratus. Its description in RNAcentral is "eukaryotic LSU rRNA". The stretch from base 177 to 330 matches the Rfam family "5.8S ribosomal RNA". The record is from RNAcentral. Lineage: Eukaryota; Fungi; Basidiomycota; Agaricomycetes; Polyporales; Irpicaceae.